GUUGGAUCACUGGUGGGUUCAGCAGAAGGGGUAGAUGCAAUUACCUCCUGAGGAAUGAGGAGCACCCCAGCCUUUGCCUCUGACCUGAUUCUCCUCAUUGACUGGGCCGUGUGCUGCACGACCCUGUUCUUGAUUCUUGAAGGAGUCAGACUCCUUCAAAAUCUCACAGCUCGGGAAAACACAGGGAUGGGCAGGAGGUCAAGAAAGAGGAGGAUCUGAAGUGGAGACCCAGACCAAAAGCAUGGGCACCACCUUGUGAAGAUGUUUGUCUGGAGGGACCUGCUCUGCAGCAGGGACUUGGAAAUGCUCCUGUAUUACAAGCAGAAAACAGCCAUCCUCCCCUUUCUGAGAAGUCCUGGGCUCUGGAGGUGCACGGUCAAACUGGGAAGGGCUCCUUGCUGAGGCACCUCAUACACAGGCUACAGAGGUGGCAGUGCAGGGUGCAUGUAGGCUGCAGUAAACUGAGAACUACCCCAUCAAGGGGGAAUGGAGAUCAUCAGUUCCUGCAGUGGGCAUUUCUUACUGUCACUGGCCAAGCAAGAAGCUAGAAAAGACUCUCAAGUGUCACUGCUAGGCAUACCAAAGAAUAGCUUUGCAUUUGGAAGUGUAUUUACAAUGUAAGGUUAUUGAAAAGCCUUGUGGCAGUGAAAUCUAAAUGUUUCAUUAAUGAAAGAACAGCAGAUGAAUAAUCACAAUAAAAGUGUCUGUUACCAUGGGACAUGGAAAUAGAAACACAAUGGGCACUUAAUGAGUGGCGAUUAGUCUGGCUCCACAGACUAUUUGGGAAAUGGAGAAGAAGAAUGGAUUGUGUCAAAAGCCAAAGUCAAAAGACACAUUUGGUAGGCUUAGGUCAAAGAAAUUAAGGAUUGCUACACCAAAAUGAGAUGCUGUCUCUGUGGAUCUAUGGUUGAAGUGAAACAUUUAAAUACAGUCAUGUCUAUGAGCCUGUAAUUACAGGGUGUCAGGCAUUACAGGGAUGUGGAGGGGCUGAACUCAGACUAUACAUACCUCCCACAUGGUGUUUUCUGACUCUGUGCAAUUGUUCAAUCCUAUUGUUUUCUUAAUAAAUUCCUCAAACCCUGUCCAGAUAUUCCCAACUCAGAAUUCACUGUGACACUCACUGCCUGAGGGGGACUCAGCAGCUGAUGCAGUUAACUUGUCCCAUGCUUAUCCUCAUACAGCAGUGUGGCUGGCUGACUACUCCAGGAGUCACUUCUCUGUGUGAAGCAGGACCUCCCAGCAGACAAGGAAGAAGCGAAGAAGAUGGGUGUGAAAGUGCCAAGUCACACCUGGACCACACAUACUGACACAACUGGGAAAUGAAAGCUAUGACCAUGAAUGUGGAAAAAAAGACAAAUACUGAAGCAAAUGCACCUCUUUGGCAAGGCAGGGGAUCAUCAGCAUAGCAGGUACAGCCAGAGUACCACAGUCCCAAAAGCUGUAAGGAUCUUUCCUGGGCAUAUUGGACACAGUUUAGGGGGCUGGACUGCCUUUGGCAUUUUGGUUAGUCACCCCUGCCUCAGCCAUGAAUCGUCUGCUGAGCUGCUGUGACAAUGGCUUUGGAAGAAAAGCCAUGGACAUACAGGGCCUCAUUUUCAGACAUACAGGGCUCCAUUGUGGAGAUAAGCAAACUACAGCACAGGAGUGAAGAAAAAUUGAAAGAGGCAGAACAGGUAGCACCAUAAUUUAAUAAAAAAUUACUGUGGAUUCUAUAUGGGAUUGUAAUUAAAGAUAGCAGACAAAUAAAGUCUUCAAGAGCACUUCAUACCUGAAGUGCGAUGUAAAAAUUACAUUGAAAAGAGCCUACCUAGGAAGAUCAUUUGUCUAAGAAAAGGGACAGAGACAUUUUAUCCUACUACAA
This is a long non-coding RNA of Neopsephotus bourkii (Bourke's parrot), 1861 nucleotides long. RefSeq lists it as uncharacterized. The transcript is spliced from 3 exons. The record is from RefSeq and is a predicted model, not a curated record. Lineage: Eukaryota; Metazoa; Chordata; Aves; Psittaciformes; Psittacidae.